Molecule: ribosomal RNA, 467 nt
Filed under: uncultured bacterium
Lineage: Bacteria
Description: partial 16S ribosomal RNA
Rfam family: Bacterial small subunit ribosomal RNA
Source: RNAcentral
GACGAACGCUGGCGGCGUGCUUAACACAUGCAAGUCGAACGGUGAAGCAGAGCUUGCUCUGUGGAUCAGUGGCGAACGGGUGAGUAACACGUGAGUAACCUGCCCUUGACUCUGGGAUAAGCGUUGGAAACGACGUCUAAUACCGGAUACGAGCUGAGACCGCAUGGUCAUCAGUUGGAAAGAUUUUUUGGUCAAGGAUGGACUCGCGGCCUAUCAGCUUGUUGGUGAGGUAAUGGCUCACCAAGGCGACGACGGGUAGCCGGCCUGAGAGGGUGACCGGCCACGCUGGGACUGAGACACGGCCCAGACUCCUACGGGAGGCAGCAGUGGGGAAUAUUGCACAAUGGGCGCAAGCCUGAUGCAGCAACGCCGCGUGAGGGAUGACGGCCUUCGGGUUGUAAACCUCUUUUAGUAGGGAAGAAGCGAAAGUGACGGUACCUGCAGAAAAAGCACCGGCUAACUACGUG